UCUACGGGUGGCUGCAGUGGGGAACAUUGGACAAUGGGCGAAAGCCUGAUCCAGCCAUGCCGCGUGUGUGAAGAAGGCCUUCGGGUUGUAAAGCACUUUCAGUGGGGAAGAAAGCCUUGGGGCUAAUACCCUCGAGGAAGGACAUCACCCACAGAAGAAGCACCGGCUAACUCCGUGCCAGCAGCCGCGGUAAUACGGAGGGUGCGAGCGUUAAUCGGAAUUACUGGGCGUAAAGCGCGCGUAGGCGGUCUGAUAAGCCGGUUGUGAAAGCCCCGGGCUCAACCUGGGAACGGCAUCCGGAACUGUCAGGCUAGAGUGCAGGAGAGGAAGGUAGAAUUCCCGGUGUAGCGGUGAAAUGCGUAGAGAUCGGGAGGAAUACCAGUGGCGAAGGCGGCCUUCUGGACUGACACUGACGCUGAGGUGCGAAAGCGUGGGUAGCAAACAGGAUUAGAUACCCGGGUAGUC
RNAcentral lists this ribosomal RNA (465 nucleotides) under Vreelandella stevensii. RNAcentral describes it as "partial 16S ribosomal RNA". It matches the Rfam family "Bacterial small subunit ribosomal RNA", at positions 338 to 795 of the family's 1533-position model. The record is from RNAcentral. Lineage: Bacteria; Pseudomonadati; Pseudomonadota; Gammaproteobacteria; Oceanospirillales; Halomonadaceae.